UAUUUUUGGAGAAUUAUCCCGUUAUUUUAUUUGGAGUCACUUACACUUUAUUUGUUUGGUGUGCCUUACAACACUAAUCUUCUGUUGUUUUUGGAGGAGCAGGUGUCUUAUUUUGGGAGAAUUAUCCCGUUAUUUUAUUUGGAAUCACUUACACUUUAUUUGUUUGGUGUGCCUUACAACACUAAUCUUCUGUUGUUUUUGGAGGAGCAGAAAAAAUGUCGUAUGCUCCUGCAGUAAGUUGACACACCGUUUUUAAUUAAAAUAUUAUGUU
Long non-coding RNA from Pseudophryne corroboree (corroboree frog), 271 nucleotides. RefSeq lists it as uncharacterized. The transcript is spliced from 3 exons. The record is from RefSeq and is a predicted model, not a curated record. Lineage: Eukaryota; Metazoa; Chordata; Amphibia; Anura; Myobatrachidae.